GACGAACGCUGGCGGCGUGCUUAACACAUGCAAGUCGAACGGAAAGGCCCUGCUUUUGUGGGGUGCUCGAGUGGCGAACGGGUGAGUAACACGUGAGUAACCUGCCCUUGACUUUGGGAUAACUUCAGGAAACUGGGGCUAAUACCGGAUAGGAGCUCCUGCUGCAUGGUGGGGGUUGGAAAGUUUCGGCGGUUGGGGAUGGACUCGCGGCUUAUCAGCUUGUUGGUGGGGUAGUGGCUUACCAAGGCUUUGAUGGGUAGCCGGCCUGAGAGGGUGACCGGCCACAUUGGGACUGGGAUACGGCCCAGACUCCUACGGGAGGCAGCAGUGGGGAAUAUUGCACAAUGGGCGGAAGCCUGAUGCAGCAACGCCGCGUGCGGGAUGACGGCCUUCGGGUUGUAAACCGCUUUCGCCUGUGACGAAGCGUGAGUGACGGUAAUGGGUAAAGAAGCACCGGCUAACUACGUG
Molecule: ribosomal RNA, 468 nt
Filed under: uncultured bacterium
Lineage: Bacteria
Description: partial 16S ribosomal RNA
Rfam family: Bacterial small subunit ribosomal RNA
Source: RNAcentral